UGGGGGUGAGGCAGCAUUUUCCUUGCGAUAGUAACUUCUAGUUAAUACAUAUUUAUACUUACUCCGAGCUUUAAGGUUUCUUACAUCCUUGGCCAUCACAUAUAGGAGUGCAACGUAGCCUCUCCGCAGGCAUCUCGUAGUUCACGUACUUCAGAAAGUCUGUGAGAUGCCUGCCAAAACCCAACAUGGUUGAGCCGUUCUGCGCAUCUUGCUUGCGCAGCGAUUUCGUCUCUAGGGUAUGCAUGUGGGGAGGAUUUGUCAUCCAAGAUGGCGGAUUGCAUGUAGUGAAGAAUCAUGAGAAUUAGUGAAUUUAUAUUAAUACGCUUGCUAAAGGCGGCUAAACGAUUAAGAAUACAGCUUUUGUGGACAAUUGAAAGAAUCUUAACCCGGAAAUUAAAAUUUUCAUCAAAUAAUUUACAUGUUGUCAGUUGAGGGACUGGUCAUAAAGUAAAAGAGGGGGUGGGCAUGGAAAAAUAGGGGGGGUGGGUCACUAUUUUUCAGCACGGUUGAAGGGGUGGGUCAUCAAAAGUUAAGUGGAAUCAAAAGUGUGGGUCAUGUAAAAACAUGCAGAAUUUUUUUCAAGGGCAUGUGUAUUAAAAUUCAUAUUAUAAAAAUAGAAAUAAAAUGUAUCAGGAUCCAUGUGUAAAAUUUAUACUGCAAACGUUAACCUCAAACUUAAAAGCUGAAUUUACUGUUUUGGCUAAUACGUUAGUAGUGACUAACUAAUUUUCUGAUAAUCAUUAUUGCUAAAUGUCACAAGCUUUGUGCAGGAUGUUUAUUAUGUAACAAAAUUAGUGUAAUUUCUACAAGAGCGUAGUUAAAUUACAAUCCUCGUUAGCGGUUUGGUGUUAGCUGUAAAUGUCAAACUAAAGGUCUCUAAUUAUAUGAGAAAGAUACUGCACAAUGCAGUAUGCAUGGGAAGUUCCAUGCAAAGAAAGACCUUUCUGUAUUUAAUUCAGGGCCUCUUUUAACAUAUAGACUGGGGAGGACAUGUCCCCCCCCAGCCCUCUUACUUAUCCCUCCAGUCUGCAAUUUUGUGCCCCCCCCCUCCCGUGAGGUCCCUAAGAACUACCUGCAGUAGGUGGUCAACCAGCAAUUAUGUAUCAAAGUGAGAGAACGAUGUUAAGUUGUUAACAUUUCAGAAUUUUACCAUCAUCUGCAGGCCUGUAACUAGCUAUGAGUCCACCGAACUAAACAUCGCCAGAAACCUAAACCAUGACUGAAAUAAUUUGCUUGUGGAACAGGG
Molecule: non-coding RNA, 1246 nt
Organism: Paramuricea clavata
Lineage: Eukaryota; Metazoa; Cnidaria; Anthozoa; Malacalcyonacea; Plexauridae
Source: the annotation of a GenBank genome assembly